UCCACUCGGCCCACGUGGGCAUCUAAG
This 27-nucleotide unclassified non-coding RNA is filed under the name Mus musculus (house mouse). Its description in RNAcentral is "oocyte_clustered_small_RNA2800". The record is from RNAcentral. Lineage: Eukaryota; Metazoa; Chordata; Mammalia; Rodentia; Muridae.